UGCAGAAUCCCGUGAACCAUCGAGUUUUUGAACGCAAGUUGCGCCCGAAGCCAUCCGGUUCAGGGCACGCCUGCCUGGGCGUCA
Molecule: ribosomal RNA, 84 nt
Filed under: Typha angustifolia
Lineage: Eukaryota; Viridiplantae; Streptophyta; Magnoliopsida; Poales; Typhaceae
Description: partial 5.8S ribosomal RNA
Rfam family: 5.8S ribosomal RNA
About the family: 5.8S ribosomal RNA (5.8S rRNA) is a component of the large subunit of the eukaryotic ribosome. It is transcribed by RNA polymerase I as part of the 45S precursor that also contains 18S and 28S rRNA.
Source: RNAcentral